RNAcentral lists this ribosomal RNA (102 nucleotides) under Caerostris darwini. The record is from RNAcentral. Lineage: Eukaryota; Metazoa; Arthropoda; Arachnida; Araneae; Araneidae.
CCAUGCUGAAUAUACCGGUUCUCGUUAGAUCACCGAAGUUAAGCAUCAUUGGGCGCGGUCAGUACUUGGGUGGGUGACCACCUGGGAACACUGCGUGCCGUU